RNAcentral lists this ribosomal RNA (383 nucleotides) under uncultured soil bacterium. Its description in RNAcentral is "bacterial SSU rRNA". It matches the Rfam family "Bacterial small subunit ribosomal RNA", at positions 26 to 412 of the family's 1533-position model. The record is from RNAcentral.
AGAUUGAACGCUGGCGGCAGGCCUAACACAUGCAAGUCGAGCGGCAGCACGGGUACUUGUACCUGGUGGCGAGCGGCGGACGGGUGAGUAAUGCCUAGGAAUCUGCCUGAUAGUGGGGGAUAACGCUCGGAAACGGACGCUAAUACCGCAUACGUCCUACGGGAGAAAGCAGGGGACCUUCGGGCCUUGCGCUAUCAGAUGAGCCUAGGUCGGAUUAGCUAGUUGGUGGGGUAAUGGCUCACCAAGGCGACGGUCCGUAACUGGUCUGAGAGGAUGAUCAGUCACACUGGAACCGAGACACGGUCCAGACUACCUACGGAGGCAGCAGUGGGAAUAUUGGACAAUAGGGCGAAAGCCUGAUCAGCCAUGCCGCGUGUGUAGAA